AGCCUAUGAUGGUUUAAGAGUAGUGGACAGAAAUCAUUUCUGACAAUAACAGACUGAGGCU
Molecule: small nucleolar RNA, 61 nt
Filed under: Phascolarctos cinereus (koala)
Lineage: Eukaryota; Metazoa; Chordata; Mammalia; Diprotodontia; Phascolarctidae
Description: Small nucleolar RNA SNORD75 (ENSPCIG00000003462.2)
Rfam family: Small nucleolar RNA SNORD75
About the family: U75 (SNORD75) belongs to the C/D class of snoRNAs which contain the C (UGAUGA) and D (CUGA) box motifs. Most of the members of the box C/D family function in directing site-specific 2'-O-methylation of substrate RNAs.
Source: Rfam by way of RNAcentral